AAUUAAAGGAUAUAGAAUUGAAACACAAUGAGCUUAAGGAGGAGAUGGUACAAUAUGCAGAUAAUGAUCCAGCUGCAUUUGAAGCAAUGAAGAAAGCUAUUGAGGUUGCCCAUGGAGCAGCUAACAGAUGGACAGACAACAUCUUCACUGUGAGACAGUGGUGCUCAAACAACUUUCCUGAAGCCAAAGAGCAGCUUGAACACAUGUACAAGGAGAUUGGAAUCACCGAUGAUUUCGAUUACGUGUAGUUGUUGCCUCCGGCCAUUCCACUCCGGGCAGUCGGCGAUGGAGAAGGCAAUCCUUAGGUGAGAUCAUGUCUCUUUUCAGUAAACACACUGUAUGCAAAUAUCAUCUCUCAGUUGUUUAAUUCUAGGCCAAGGGACAAGGUGAACAUAGGUUCAUCUAGUACUUU
Molecule: long non-coding RNA, 412 nt
Organism: Hibiscus syriacus
Lineage: Eukaryota; Viridiplantae; Streptophyta; Magnoliopsida; Malvales; Malvaceae
Exons: 5
Source: RefSeq, a predicted model, not a curated record